AUUAUAUAUAUGUUGCUGCAUAUCAAAUUCGGUGGUAUAUAAUUCCGCUAAACAUACAAAAGCUGAUAUUGAUUCUCUUACAAAGAGGCAACAAGACUUUUGGUCUGAAUAUUGGUGGAUUAUUUAUAGCAUCUAUACAAUGUUUUGCUACGCUAGCAAAUACAUCUCUAUCUUAUUUUACAGUCAUGUAUUCUGUACGAUAAUGAUAGCAAAAUAUGCAUCAAAUUAUAGUUAAUGAGUCACAUAUUACA
This 251-nucleotide long non-coding RNA is filed under the name Camponotus floridanus (Florida carpenter ant). RNAcentral describes it as "uncharacterized LOC112637237". Lineage: Eukaryota; Metazoa; Arthropoda; Insecta; Hymenoptera; Formicidae. The record is from RNAcentral.